RNAcentral lists this non-coding RNA (45 nucleotides) under Mytilus galloprovincialis (Mediterranean mussel). It matches the Rfam family "Histone 3' UTR stem-loop". Rfam says of the family: The mRNAs of metazoan histone genes lack a poly-A tail. 3' end processing occurs at a site between a highly conserved stem-loop (modelled by this family) and a purine rich region around 20 nts downstream (the histone downstream element, or HDE). The record is from RNAcentral. Lineage: Eukaryota; Metazoa; Mollusca; Bivalvia; Mytilida; Mytilidae.
UAAACGGCCCUAUUCAGGGCCAUCUAUAUAUUACAGAAAUACAAC